UUAAACGACUCUCGGCAACGGAUAUCUCGGCUCUCGCAUCGAUGAAGAACGUAGCGAAAUGCGAUACUUGGUGUGAAUUGCAGAAUCCCGUGAACCAUCGAGUCUUUGAACGCAAGUUGCGCCCGAAGCCUUCGGGCCGAGGGCACGUCUGCCUGGGCGUCACGC
Molecule: ribosomal RNA, 165 nt
Filed under: Gibbaeum pachypodium
Lineage: Eukaryota; Viridiplantae; Streptophyta; Magnoliopsida; Caryophyllales; Aizoaceae
Also listed under: 1 other name
Description: 5.8S ribosomal RNA
Rfam family: 5.8S ribosomal RNA
About the family: 5.8S ribosomal RNA (5.8S rRNA) is a component of the large subunit of the eukaryotic ribosome.
Source: RNAcentral